Long non-coding RNA from Sander lucioperca (pikeperch), 127 nucleotides. RefSeq lists it as uncharacterized. The record is from RefSeq and is a predicted model, not a curated record. Lineage: Eukaryota; Metazoa; Chordata; Actinopteri; Perciformes; Percidae. The transcript is spliced from 3 exons.
AGACAAGACGUAAAAUUACAAAUCCCACUAAGGCCAUGCCAAGACCCGCCCUACGAAGUAGCUCGAUGGGUUGGGGUUAGGAAUUUGACCUCAAGUGGUUAAGGUUAGGAUAGCCGAUUGGUCAGGG